GCGAGCGCGACGUGAUCCUGACGCAACAGAAAUUUCUCUGUUGUCGUUUGUCCCAGGCCUGAUUCACGGUGUUAUUACGAGUGUGACGAAGUCGCGACGGUUGGUAACGAGCUUGGGAGCGUUCGCUCGUUAUGUAAAUAUCGUCGACUUUCGUGCUUGGUUUUUCACGGUGAACAAUUAGGACGAGAGUACGGUCAUUAAGUGACCAUCAUUUUCCCACCGAGUGCCAAAAUUUUAGAACACGCGACAUCUUGCUCCGUUAUCAUCAGUCAUCAUAUUAACCAAAAGCAAAAGAAGCUUAAAUUUCACACGGACCUCUUUAAGACGCAACGGCAUAGCGUCUUGGAUGAAAGUCAGGAGCUUCAUGCUGUAAGAUGGCGUCAGUCCCAUCACUUGCUUCAUAGUCAGCCCGUCGAAGUCCAUUAUCACAAUA
Nomia melanderi (Alkali bee) is the source of this 433-nucleotide long non-coding RNA. RefSeq lists it as uncharacterized. Lineage: Eukaryota; Metazoa; Arthropoda; Insecta; Hymenoptera; Halictidae. The record is from RefSeq and is a predicted model, not a curated record.